RNAcentral lists this ribosomal RNA (400 nucleotides) under Escherichia coli. Its description in RNAcentral is "partial 23S ribosomal RNA". It matches the Rfam family "Bacterial large subunit ribosomal RNA", at positions 1 to 431 of the family's 2925-position model. The record is from RNAcentral. Lineage: Bacteria; Pseudomonadati; Pseudomonadota; Gammaproteobacteria; Enterobacterales; Enterobacteriaceae.
GGGUUGUGAGGUUAAGCGACUAAGCGUACACGGUGGAUGCCCUGGCAGUCAGAGGCGAUGAAGGACGUGCUAAUCUGCGAUAAGCGUCGGUAAGGUGAUAUGAACCGUUAUAACCGGCGAUUUCCGAAUGGGGAAACCCAGUGUGUUUCGACACACUAUUAUUAACUGAAUCCAUAGGUUAAUGAGGCGAACCGGGGGAACUGAAACAUCUAAGUACCCCGAGGAAAAGAAAUCAACCGAGAUUCCCCCAGUAGCGGCGAGCGAACGGGGAGGAGCCCAGAGCCUGAAUCAGUGUGUGUGUUAGUGGAAGCGUCUGGAAAGGCGCGCGAUACAGGGUGACAGCCCCGUACACAAAAAUGCACAUGCUGUGAGCUCGAUGAGUAGGGCGGGACACGUGGUA